RNAcentral lists this ribosomal RNA (439 nucleotides) under uncultured bacterium. RNAcentral describes it as "partial 16S ribosomal RNA". It matches the Rfam family "Bacterial small subunit ribosomal RNA", at positions 339 to 795 of the family's 1533-position model. The record is from RNAcentral.
CUACGGGAGGCUGCAGUGGGGAAUCUUGGACAAUGGGCGCAAGCCUGAUCCAGCCAUGCCGCGUGAGUGAAGAAGGCCUUAGGGUCGUAAAGCUCUUUCGCCAGAGAUGAUAAUGACAGUAUCUGGUAAAGAAACCCCGGCUAACUCCGUGCCAGCAGCCGCGGUAAUACGGAGGGGGUUAGCGUUGUUCGGAAUUACUGGGCGUAAAGCGCGCGUAGGCGGAUUAGUCAGUCAGAGGUGAAAUCCCAGGGCUCAACCCUGGAACUGCCUUUGAUACUGCUAGUCUUGAGUUCGAGAGAGGUGAGUGGAAUUCCGAGUGUAGAGGUGGAAUUCGUAGAUAUUCGGAGGAACACCAGUGGCGAAGGCGGCUCACUGGCUCGAUACUGACGCUGAGGUGCGAAAGUGUGGGGAGCAAACAGGAUUAGAUACCCCCGUAGUC